AAUUGGCUUAGUUAGGAGGCCUAAAUCAAUCUGAUGAUCUUUCAAUAUGUCGAUACUUCUCUGUAUUGGUUUGAUCUUAAUGACUUGAGGUCUUUUGAGGAGGAGCUCUGCCUUUUUUUUUUGCUGCUUCUCCCAAGCAGCCUCAGACAUUA
This 152-nucleotide small nucleolar RNA is filed under the name Brassica oleracea var. oleracea. RNAcentral's name for it is "Small nucleolar RNA U19". It matches the Rfam family "Small nucleolar RNA U19". Lineage: Eukaryota; Viridiplantae; Streptophyta; Magnoliopsida; Brassicales; Brassicaceae. The record is from Rfam by way of RNAcentral.